ACUCCUACGGGAGGCAGCAGUGGGAAUAUUGCACAAUGGGCGCAAGCCUGAUGCAGCCAUGCCGCGUGUGUGAAGAAGGCCUUCGGGUUGUAAGGCACUUUCAGUCGUGAGGAAGGUAGUGUAGUUAAUAGCUGCAUUAUUUGACGUUAGCGACAGAAGAAGCACCGGCUAACUCCGUGCCAGCAGCCGCGGUAAUACGGAGGGUGCGAGCGUUGUUCGGAAUUACUGGGCGUAAAGCGCGCGUAGGCGGACUGGAAAGUUGGGGUGGAAUCCGGGGCAUCCGACCCAGACCGGCAGCUCCAAAACUAUCAGUCUAGAGUUCGAGAGAGGUGAGUGGAAUUCCGAGUGUAGAGGUGAAAUUCGUAGAUAUUCGGAGGAACACCAGUGGCGAAGGCGGCUCACUGGCUCGAUACUGACGCUGAGGUGCGAAAGCGUGGGGAGCAAACA
Molecule: ribosomal RNA, 447 nt
Filed under: uncultured bacterium
Lineage: Bacteria
Description: bacterial SSU rRNA
Rfam family: Bacterial small subunit ribosomal RNA
Source: RNAcentral